RNAcentral lists this ribosomal RNA (1765 nucleotides) under Triticum aestivum (bread wheat). RNAcentral describes it as "partial small subunit ribosomal RNA". Lineage: Eukaryota; Viridiplantae; Streptophyta; Magnoliopsida; Poales; Poaceae. The record is from RNAcentral.
UGGCGUGGUUUUUACUGCGCGCUGGGGGUCAGGAUGAGAGGGGUCAACAAUGAGGGUCGGUCGUCGUGGCAGGUCCCGGGCCGGCGUGCGAUGUUGAUCUUGGUUGGGGUCGGGGCCACGUCACGUGUCGGUCACAUCGAUGAGAGAGAGAGCGUCGCUCUCGUCCUGCUGCGUCCUGCCGAUCGAUCGAAACUAGCGGCGGCCUAGCCUCAUGAGCACCACAGCCCCCGGUACCGGCCGCGGCGCCCGCUGCCCGGCCUCCCCCACCCGCCUCCGCCCCUGACCGGCGGCAAGCGACCGCUGCGGAAGCGCUUCAUGAGCAGCAGCCACAAGCGGCUGGAGCCGCCGACCGGCCUGCCGGAGCCGCGCCCGCGGCCCCUGGACGGCGGCGACCUAGACGGCCGCGGCUCGGGCAGGCGCGUCCAGGUCGACCGCGGCAGCCUGCUCUAGUACGGCCGGCGCAGUCCGCUCGGGCGGCCGCGGCGCAGGAGGACGAGGUCGCCGCUGCCGCGGCGUCGCCGGCGGCUCUUGCGGCUGUUCGGCGUCAGGCGGCGGCUGCGUCGCUCGUACUUCGGCUGCCGCCGCCACUUCUUCCCCGUCUUCGCCCGCGCCGUCGUCGCCAAGCGGAAGCACUGGUUCUCGCUUCAACUAGUGGAGCUCCUACCCAUGUCUACCUCCUUCAUACCCGUCUUUCGGCAGUUCUUGUCGGGAAAGGGUUCCUCGAUGAUGGCCACGUGGUUGUCGUUCACGUGACACUUCUUCGCCCACCUCGCCAGCAGCCUCCUGGGGAGACACCACUAGUGGUGGAUGCUCCCGGUCGUGACGGUGGUGGUCUGGAGGAAGGUCGCGCCGCCGUACGUGAAGGUGCCGCCGCGAUGGCAGCGCGAGCGCCUCGUCUACAGCAAGCACAGUUGAGUCGUCGACAUGUUGGACGGCGGGGACGCGGCUGUUGUCUACUUAGGACGUAGCAGCCUCAGGCAGCAAUCGAGGCACGGGGGCAGAAACGUCGUCGAGUUACCGCCGCUGCUUGAUGCUUCCAGCUGAUCGAUAUCGGGGUACGGCAGGCGCCGCGUCUGUAGUAGCAGUAGCAACCAAGGAGGCCUACAAAGCAAACUGUACCCUGACGAACCGCUGUAGCACGGAGGUCCUCAUUCUUUACCUACUGCUAGAUAUUACUUAAUAGAGGGAUGACCGAUAUAGACUUGAGACUUCAGUACUGUACAGAGUCUAGUCCCUUCCGCCUAUUGGUUCGUCGAUGGGUAUCGAUCCCAAAGGUCGACUAACUAGCUACGAGAGGACGUCUUAGGGAACUCUGGCUCGACCUAGAACUCGGAUAAUGUCUGCCCAUAACUAGUUUCUGCUACGUACCUCAUGUUGGGAAAGAGGACUACUGUCCUAAACGAUAACUAAAACGUGACGCGGAGUAAUAACCUGUCCGGGCACGUUAAGAGCUAGAGUACCGUUUUAAAAUACGGGUGGAUUAAUUGAAGUCGGAUAGACAAACUAGAUGAACUGGGAACCGUACAUCGUUAAACUAUCAUCAUCAUCAUACACCAGAAGAGCGUGUUAUCAUAACCUAAUUGGAUUUGAAAAUACUGAAAGAUCGAUCGAUCGUCGGAUCGUCCCAAUUAAACAACACCUACAUAUAUCAUAUACAAACUCUAAGACGUAUACGUCACGUCAUAGCCCCACUAGUAUGUCGAUCGAGUAAGCUGAGAAACAAGAAAUAAUGAGGGUAGUUGAAGCUUAGACUAAAAAAUGACCC